RNAcentral lists this long non-coding RNA (1421 nucleotides) under Gallus gallus (chicken). RNAcentral describes it as "lncRNA (ENSGALG00010014712.1)". Lineage: Eukaryota; Metazoa; Chordata; Aves; Galliformes; Phasianidae. The record is from RNAcentral.
GAAUCUUUUUCUGGGGAUCCCUCCUUGAUGCAGCUUUCCCUUGUGAUCCUGAAAUCUUCUGAUACAGGUUCUUUAAAAGAGGAGACAGUAACAGUGAAGCAUCCUACUGUUAACUGCUUGGGAGCAGUUCAAUAAAUCUGUUUUUAUAAACAAAACAUCUGUCUGGAGAAAGGUGGAAAAGUUGCUUGAAAACAUCCGUACUUCAUCCUUUUAAAGAAUGCAGUGGGAAUCUUUUGUAAUAUUUAUGUAAGCAGCAGCUGUGGGAGUGGAUCAAUAAGACUACAAAUUUGCUACACAAGUCUGUGGUUUGCCACUAACUUAAGACAACUUAAUCUUGCUCUGUAUUUCAUGGCUGUUACAAGGGGUGGUAUCUUUCUUUCUUUUUGUGUGCUUACUGUUCAUGCUUAAACAGUUUUUAUAAUGGGAAACCUUGAAGGUUCUUAAAUAUUUCCUUGAGAAUUGCACAGGAGUGUAAAAAUUUUUACUUCCAUCUAUUCAUUUUUUUUUUACUUAGAAAGAAAAAUCUUGUUCUCCUCCACCCCCACCUCUAACAGCUGAAGUGUUUGUUCUGUAAAUCAUCCUGGUGAGCAUUACUCCCAGAACCUCCUUGCAUGAAGUAACUCUAAGAAAACCUAUGUUAGUGGCAGCAGUUUUUAAAAAGUGUGGAGGAUUGCGGAAGUCUACUUUUCCGGAGUUUUGACCAUGUAUUUCUCUACUAGUACAUUGGAACUGGAUGGCAAGAUUAACAGACAAUUUUUUCCUCAGUUAGAUCUAUAAGUUUAUUAAAUUAAACUGCAUACGCUUGUAUGUAAUUUAGUAUUUCAGAAUUCAUGUCAUCCAAACUGGUGUAAAUGGAUAAUUUGUGAAUGAUGUAGCUGACAAAUGUAACUGCACAUAACUUUGGGGGAAAGUAAUAUCUUUGCUACUCCAGAAAUUACCUUUAAACAUGUUGCAUAUAUAGAAACAACUCUGAAAUGAUGCUAUUAGAUAUGACUGUGCUGGUUCUUUCAAGCCAUUGAGACCAGUGGUACACAGUUUCAGCAUGCUCAACUCUUGAAAUUUGCCUCUGCCUCAUCUACUGGUGUUAAUCACCAUAAAUUCCCAUUUACUACCUCGUCCAUUGCCUGACCUGCAGUAUUGUGAUCCAUGUGAAAACUGCAUCACUAUUACUUCUUGUGCUGUUCUUAUGGCGUGAUCAUCGUUACCCUGGCCUCCUUGCAUCAGAAAUCUCCUUUUUUCUGUUCAUGACCGCUCCCACUACAGUGUUUAUUGAGAAAUCAUGCUUAUUUGAUCUGAUUGGAAAGCAUCAAUAUCCAUAGAAAUGCUUAUCAGAAUAGCCUUUUAAACAUAGACAUGCUGACACUGCUGUUUGGGAGAGCGAGUUUCUACCUCUAAAAAAAAAAUUACUGAACAGUGAAUCU